CCUACGGGCGGCUGCAGUAAGGAAUAUUGGUCAAUGGACGAAAGUCUGAACCAGCCAUGCCGCGUGGAGGAUGAAGGUCCUCUGGAUUGUAAACUUCUUUUAUAUGGGACGCAAAAAGGCCUUUCUAGGCCGUCUGACGGUACCAUAUGAAUAAGCACCGGCUAACUCCGUGCCAGCAGCCGCGGUAAUACGGAGGGUGCAAGCGUUAUCGGGAUUCACUGGUGCGAAGGUGGGUUGAGGAGGGUUGAUAGAAAUAUCCGAGCGUAACUUGGAAACUGCCAUUGAUACUAUUAAUCUUGAAUAUUGUGGAGGUUAGCGGAAUAUGUCAUGUAGCGGUGAAAUGCUUAGAUAUGACAUAGAACACCAAUUGCGAAGGCAGCUGGCUACACAUAUAUUGACACUGAGGCACGAAAGCGUGGGGAUCAAACAGGAUUAGAUACCCUAGUAGUC
Molecule: ribosomal RNA, 450 nt
Filed under: uncultured bacterium
Lineage: Bacteria
Description: partial 16S ribosomal RNA
Rfam family: Bacterial small subunit ribosomal RNA
Source: RNAcentral